This 465-nucleotide ribosomal RNA is filed under the name Vreelandella stevensii. RNAcentral's name for it is "partial 16S ribosomal RNA". It matches the Rfam family "Bacterial small subunit ribosomal RNA", at positions 338 to 795 of the family's 1533-position model. The record is from RNAcentral. Lineage: Bacteria; Pseudomonadati; Pseudomonadota; Gammaproteobacteria; Oceanospirillales; Halomonadaceae.
CCUACGGGUGGCAGCAGUGGGGAAUAUUGGACAAUGGGGGCAACCCUGAUCCAGCCAUGCCGCGUGUGUGAAGAAGGCCCUCGGGUUGUAAAGCACUUUCAGUGAGGAAGAACGCCUGGUGGUUAAUACCCAUCAGGAAAGACAUCACUCACAGAAGAAGCACCGGCUAACUCCGUGCCAGCAGCCGCGGUAAUACGGAGGGUGCGAGCGUUAAUCGGAAUUACUGGGCGUAAAGCGCGCGUAGGUGGCUUGAUAAGCCGGUUGUGAAAGCCCCGGGCUCAACCUGGGAACGGCAUCCGGAACUGUCAAGCUAGAGUGCAGGAGAGGAAGGUAGAAUUCCCGGUGUAGCGGUGAAAUGCGUAGAGAUCGGGAGGAAUACCAGUGGCGAAGGCGGCCUUCUGGACUGACACUGACACUGAGGUGCGAAAGCGUGGGUAGCACACAGGAUUAGAUACCCUAGUAGUC